RNAcentral lists this ribosomal RNA (433 nucleotides) under uncultured bacterium. Its description in RNAcentral is "partial 16S ribosomal RNA". It matches the Rfam family "Bacterial small subunit ribosomal RNA", at positions 29 to 507 of the family's 1533-position model. The record is from RNAcentral.
AACGAACGCUGGCGGCAUGCCUAACACAUGCCAGUCGAACGAGACCUUCGGGUCUAGUGGCGCACGGGUGCGUAACGCGUGGGAACCUGCCCUUAGGUUCGGAAUAACUCCCCGAAAGGGGUGCUAAUACCGGAUAAUGUCUUCGGACCAAAGAUUUAUCGCCUUUGGAUGGGCCCGCGUUGGAUUAGCUAGUUGGUAGGGUAAAAGCCUACCAAGGCGACGAUCCAUAGCUGGUCUGAGAGGAUGAUCAGCCACACUGGGACUGAGACACGGCCCAGACUCCUACGGGAGGCAGCAGUGGGGAAUAUUGGACAAUGGGCGAAAGCCUGAUCCAGCAAGGCCGCGUGAGUGAUGAAGGCCUUAGGGUUGUAAAGCUCUUUUACCCGGGAUGAUAAUGACAGUACCGGGAGAAUAAGCUCCGGCUAACUCCGUG